Molecule: long non-coding RNA, 1350 nt
Filed under: Nicotiana benthamiana
Lineage: Eukaryota; Viridiplantae; Streptophyta; Magnoliopsida; Solanales; Solanaceae
Description: long non-coding RNA (NBEN_LNC018051)
Source: RNAcentral
CUUGUCCAUUUCUAUUGAAGUUUUUGACAGUUACCACCUCGUUGUUCCAAAAGAUCACAAAACCUCCACGUUGUCCAUUGGAAGGCACCUCAAUCAUCUCUGUAAAACUAAAAGCUUCCAAUAUUGAGAGGUGGCUUUCCAUUCUUGUUUCUAGAAGAGCGACUAGACACGGCCUAUGUGAGUCCAUUAGUUCCGUAAAGUUUCUGGUGAAAUUUAUGUUAUUUGCACCUCUAACAUUCCAAAUGAUUAUGUUGUUCGGCUGGUACAUGGGAAUAUUAUUUGGUGGAUUGGUGUUUUGCAUCACUCUUUGGGAUGGAAUCAUAAUUACUAUCUUUUAUCCCACUGUUGGAUCCUGAGGUGGACGGAUGUCCAACGAGCACUUGUAGAAUGUCAUUGGGAAGAUGAAGAUAUACUUCUUGUCGAGUAUCUCCCUGAAUAUCAAUAUUUUUACCUUGUUUAGACUUGAAAGAGUCACAGCUGGUUCCACUAAGUGUUCUAAGUCUUCCACUGCCUCGUCUCCCUCUUGGUUCCCUACUUGAUUUGGUACGUUCAUUUGUUGAACUUGCUCUUCCAUGGGAUCUGGUUGUUGGUCUGGAUGGUUGGGGAGGACUGGAUCAUUCCAUUGGAUGAAGACUGGGUUGAGGAGCAUCAUGUCCUCCGGUUCAAAGAAGGGUAUUGAGGGGAGAGUUCUGUAUGACUUGUUGGUUUGGGUGAUGUGAAAUGUUCCGCAUUGGUUGCAUGUUGUUCACCAAGUUUUGGUUCAUGUUGGGAGCUAAUGGUUGGAGUAUAUUGUUUAACCAUAUUUGGUUCACAUAAUUGUUCAUUGCUAAGUUCAUACCAUNNNNNNNNUAAUGGAUGGAGUAUAUUGUUUAACCACAUUUGGUUCACAUAAUUUUUCAUUGCUAAGUUCAUGCCCUCCGAUAUGAGUUGGGCAAGGAAGUGAGUGUUUUGUAUCACUAGGAUCGAUUCCUGGCCAUUGAUUUCUAUAUUGAAAAUUAUUGCAUGGCCUUGAAGUCCCAAUUCUAUCCACGACUGGGCAAAGUGAUUUGGUGGUGUUGGUGGUUGGGCAUAGAUUGCCGGAUUUUGUUGGGGAUGGGGAGGGAAGUUGGAAAGUUGUUCAUAUUUUGGUUGCGUGAUAGGCGGAAUAUUUGGAGGAGUCGGUAUCUUCUCUCGAGGGAUAUGGAGGUUCUAGCCAUUUUUUGAAGAUGAGAUCGUGUUUAUAGGGGGUGGAGGAGUGGACGAAGUAGUAGUAGUUCUAAUGAUUGGCUCUAUUUGUAAUUGGGAGGCACAUACUUGCGUGUUUUUUAUAACAAAAUCUCCCAUGGAGAUGUCAUUUGCCACUUGGCCGUG